UUGGAGGGCAAGUCUGGUGCCAGCAGCCGCGGUAAUUCCAGCUCCAAUAGCGUAUAUUAAAGUUGUUGCAGUUGAAAAGCUCGUAGUUGAAUUUCGGGAUCAAUAUGCCGAUCAUGCCUUGGUAUGCACUGGUAUCUUUGAUUUCUCCCUUCUGACGAACUUUGAUGUCAUUAAUUUGGUGUCAUAGGGAAUCAGGACUGUUACUUUGAAAAAAUUAGAGUGUUUAAAGCAAGCUCACGCUUGAAUACAUUAGCAUGGAAUAAUGAAAUAGGACGUUUGAUUCUAUUUUGUUGGUUUCUAGGAUCGACGUAAUGAUUAAUAGGGAUAGUUGGGGGCAUUAGUAUUCAAUUGUCAGAGGUGAAAUUCUUGGAUUUAUUGAAGACUAACUACUGCGAAAGCAUUUGCCAAGGAUGUUUUCAUUAAUCAAGAACGAAAGUUAGGGGAUCGAAGACGAUCAGAUACCGUCGUAGUCUUAACCAUAAACUAUGCCGACUAGGGAUCGGAUGAUGUUAAUUUUUUAAUGACUCAUUCGGCGCCUUACGGGAAAC
Molecule: ribosomal RNA, 548 nt
Filed under: uncultured Glomus
Lineage: Eukaryota; Fungi; Glomeromycota; Glomeromycetes; Glomerales; Glomeraceae
Description: SSU rRNA
Rfam family: Eukaryotic small subunit ribosomal RNA
Source: RNAcentral